AUGGUCCGAUCAUUUCCUUGUGAAGUUUGGUUUGAUGGCAGCAGAUUCUCCAUUGGCAGAGGACCCAAUAAAAAGUUACACCUUCACAGACUUAUGGAAUCCAAAGGACUCUUGAAUGUUCUAGGGGAGAUUCUGGCUGACAGGGCUAGUAAUUCAGUCGAGGUCUUGGUCUCACUGUGGAAUGGUGAUAUGGAAGGGGUAGUUGAUACAGUUGCUCUCAAGAGUGGUGUAGUGGAGCCUAUAAUUCCCUUGGUUUAUCAAAGACUGGUGGAUGACUAAACAAACCGGAUAACAGCUAGAGUUCAAGUGGCACAGGUCUCGAAGCAACUAUGAUUAGCCUUCUAAUUGUUUUACUUGCCAAUGCUUUUUCAUCUUGCCCCUGCCACCCAGCAUAAUUGUUCUGAGUGGUUACAAGCUGACUUGGGAUUGGACCCAGAAAGGCUAGAAGCAGAACCCUAAGUCACCAGCUGUUAGAAAUUUGGUAGGCACUUAAAAGAGACAGUCACUUGGAACUGGAUGUCACAAAUGUUACAGUACUUAGGGAUGUGUCUAGACUAGAGCAUAGUCUAGGCAGGUUUGGGGGAUCCGUUUCAGCAGCAGUGGCUUGUUGAUGUGGACAAUAAGUUUGAAUCGGCCCAUCUCACCAUGCGUAUGCUUGACCCUUGCCAUUGUGGUUGACAAGAUCUAGCAAGGGUGGGUUGAAUGGUGGGUCCAGGAGGUAACAAAUGCCUCAUUAUGGCAGGUGAUGGUUAUUUCUGUUUUGAAAUAGGUGGUGGUGCCCUCUCUCCCAAAGAGGACUUAUCUGGACCCAGAAGUAUGUGACAAUUAUUUCCCCAUGGCAAAUAUUUGAUUUUUGGGCAAGGUGGUGAAUGGGGAGCUUCGCAUGUUCUUGGAAGAAACUUCAGCCUAGUUUCAGACCAGAGUUUGGUAUCAAAGUGGCCUUAGCUGCCUUGACUGAUUACCUGCUCCAGGCUAAAGACUAGUUCCAAAGGGUGAUAUUGGGGUACUUUUGCACAGCCCCACGGUGAUUAAGCAGUGGGAUGUCACAGGAUUAUAUUCUAUCCCCCAUGCUCUAUAAAGUUGCUGGGAGAGAUCGUUAGAAAUGUUGGGUUUGGGUGCCUGUAAGAAAGGGUGCAGGAAGUGAGACACUUCCCACCCAUGUGCCUUGUUUGCUACCCUGGAAAAAGAAAGGACAACAGGAGAUGAGUGUGUCCAAGCCAGGAGGGGGAUGAGGGAGAGACGAUCCAGAAAUAAGAGGGGGGAAGGAGAGGGAAGGAGGAGAAAAUAAAAUAUAUGAAAGGGAGACA
This 1307-nucleotide long non-coding RNA is filed under the name Pogona vitticeps (central bearded dragon). Its description in RNAcentral is "lncRNA (ENSPVIG00000007160.1)". The record is from RNAcentral. Lineage: Eukaryota; Metazoa; Chordata; Lepidosauria; Squamata; Agamidae.